AGCUUAGUGGCGAACGGGUGAGUAACGCGUGAGUAACCUGCCCUAGAGUGGGGGACAACAGUUGGAAACGACUGCUAAUACCGCAUAAGCCCACGGUACCGCAUGGUACUGAGGGAAAAGGAUUUAUUCGCUUUAGGAUGGACUCGCGUCCAAUUAGCUAGUUGGUGAGGUAACGGCCCACCAAGGCGACGAUUGGUAGCCGGACUGAGAGGUUGAACGGCCACAUUGGGACUGAGACACGGCCCAGACUCCUACGGGAGGCAGCAGUGGGGGAUAUUGCACAAUGGGGGAAACCCUGAUGCAGCGACGCCGCGUGGAGGAAGAAGGUUUUCGGAUUGUAAACUCCUGUCGUUAGGGACGAUAAUGACGGUACCUAACAAGAAAGCACCGGCUAACUACGUGCCAGCAGCCGCGGUAAAACGUAGGGUGCAAGCGUUGUCCGGAAUUACUGGGUGUAAAGGGAGCGCAGGCGGGAAGACAAGUUGGAAGUGAAAACCAUGGGCUCAACCCAUGAAUUGCUUUCAAAACUGUUUUUCUUGAGUAGUGCAGAGGUAGAUGGAAUUCCCGGUGUAGCGGUGGAAUGCGUAGAUAUCGGGAGGAACACCAGUGGCGAAGGCGGUCUACUGGGCACCAACUGA
This 638-nucleotide ribosomal RNA is filed under the name uncultured bacterium. RNAcentral's name for it is "bacterial SSU rRNA". It matches the Rfam family "Bacterial small subunit ribosomal RNA", at positions 89 to 743 of the family's 1533-position model. The record is from RNAcentral.